GCCUGGGUGGCUCAGUCGCUUAAGCGUCUGACUUUGGCUCAAGUCAUGAUCUCACAGUUCGUGGGUUCGAGUCCCACAUUGGGCU
RNAcentral lists this transfer RNA (85 nucleotides) under Felis catus (domestic cat). It matches the Rfam family "tRNA". Rfam says of the family: Transfer RNA (tRNA) molecules are approximately 80 nucleotides in length. Lineage: Eukaryota; Metazoa; Chordata; Mammalia; Carnivora; Felidae. The record is from Rfam by way of RNAcentral.